ACCCUCUGUUUCCCUUUCCCAUUGGAUCAAAUGGUGGUCAUUAAUGAGGUAGUACCCUGAAGUGGGCAUCACAAAACAGAACAGAAGGCCAGAUUAAAAAAUGC
Molecule: small nucleolar RNA, 104 nt
Filed under: Mus caroli (Ryukyu mouse)
Lineage: Eukaryota; Metazoa; Chordata; Mammalia; Rodentia; Muridae
Description: snoRNA (MGP_CAROLIEiJ_G0035972.1)
Source: RNAcentral